RNAcentral lists this ribosomal RNA (521 nucleotides) under Streptacidiphilus sp. 645259. RNAcentral's name for it is "bacterial SSU rRNA". It matches the Rfam family "Bacterial small subunit ribosomal RNA", at positions 96 to 631 of the family's 1533-position model. The record is from RNAcentral. Lineage: Bacteria; Bacillati; Actinomycetota; Actinomycetes; Kitasatosporales; Streptomycetaceae.
UGGCGAACGGGUGAGUAACACGUGGGCAAUCUGCCCUGCACUCUGGGACAAGCCUUGGAAACGAGGUCUAAUACCGGAUAUUACCCUUGNCCGCAUGGUCUUGGGUGGAAAGCUCCGGCGGUGCAGGAUGAGCCCGCGGCCUAUCAGCUUGUUGGUGGGGUGAUGGCCUACCAAGGCGACGACGGGUAGCCGGCCUGAGAGGGCGACCGGCCACACUGGGACUGAGACACGGCCCAGACUCCUACGGGAGGCAGCAGUGGGGAAUAUUGCACAAUGGGCGAAAGCCUGAUGCAGCGACGCCGCGUGAGGGAUGAAGGCCUUCGGGUUGUAAACCUCUUUCAGCAGGGAAGAAGCGCAAGUGACGGUACCUGCAGAAGAAGCACCGGCUAACUACGUGCCAGCAGCCGCGGUAAUACGUAGGGUGCGAGCGUUGUCCGGAAUUAUUGGGCGUAAAGAGCUCGUAGGCGGCUUGUCACGUCGGAUGUGAAAGCCCGGGGCUUAACCCCGGGUCUGCAUUCGAU